AAGAUCGAAGCGACUCUGCAGAUCGAAUUGCAAGUGACAACUCAUUGGAAGACUCAAGGACAACUCCAGACUUGAGAGGAGAUGGCACUUCCAGCAUGUUCAUGCAACAGACAUUUGUUACCUCUACCCCAGUCAGACACAGACAGAGUUUGGGUUCUGCACAAACAAUCAGACAGAAAGACUUCUUUACCAGCCAAGAGUCAACAGAAAUACACUUUGAGGAAACAGAGGAUACCCAACUAAGCUCCCUGGAGUCUGAAAGUGAUUCUACUGAAGUGGGUGAUCAAAG
Long non-coding RNA from Corticium candelabrum, 289 nucleotides. RefSeq lists it as uncharacterized. The record is from RefSeq and is a predicted model, not a curated record. NCBI's taxonomy places the organism in Eukaryota, Metazoa, Porifera, Homoscleromorpha, Homosclerophorida, Plakinidae. The transcript is spliced from 3 exons.